UGCUCCUAAUCUGUUAUAUUGAUCUAUUAACAAUGUUUUCCAUGGGGAUAUAUUCAAGGGGUCUAAAAGUUUAUUUAUCCAUGUCAUCUUUAAUGAAUAACAAAAAGAUCUUAUAUCUGGCAUUUUCAACCCCCAUUUUCAAAUAACCCUAUCAUAACUUUUCUUUUAAUCUUGUCUGGUUUUCCUGACCACAAGAAACUAAAAAAAUAUUUUGAAUUUCUUUUAU
Molecule: long non-coding RNA, 226 nt
Filed under: Mytilus galloprovincialis (Mediterranean mussel)
Lineage: Eukaryota; Metazoa; Mollusca; Bivalvia; Mytilida; Mytilidae
Source: RNAcentral